Molecule: RNA transcript, 2702 nt
Organism: Lolium rigidum
Lineage: Eukaryota; Viridiplantae; Streptophyta; Magnoliopsida; Poales; Poaceae
Exons: 3
Source: RefSeq, a predicted model, not a curated record
CUCCUCUCUCUAUUCAUCAUCUUCCUCACCGGCCAGGCCAAGGUCCUCCAGACCCCCCUCCACCAGCCCCGCCCUGCCGGAGCUCAUCUUGCCCGAUCCCCCACUCCUCCUCCAUCCUCCAGAUCCCGUAUGAGCUCCUCUGUACCCGCCGAUGGCGCAUAUCAGCCGCAGGUCACGCAUGUCCCCGAUCCACUGCCUCCCUCGCCGUCCUGCGUCUGCUCCCGCUCGCCGGCCGUCAUCUUUCCGGCACGUCCGCGCGGCUGCUGCACCUUCAGGCAUGCCGCCGCCGACACAAGGAGGAGGCCUCCCCGUUGCUCUCCCUGGACGGCAUCGACCAUGCUGCAGGGACGACGUGUUGCUGCUGCUACUCACCGACGCUCAGCCUCCACCGCAGCAUGUCAGUGAGCACUCUGGCUGCUGCCGGUUCCCCUCCAAGCACGAGGCGUGGCGCUUGCGCGGAGACAAGGCCGAUGAUUAAGAUUCUAACAUUUGACAGAUCAACGUUGGAGCUGCAGGUUAGGUUCAGGACCUGGUACUAGCAGAUGGACGGCAGGGCAAGGAUGAGCGGCGGUGGGUUCAGGUGGAGAACGUUCUGGAUGGGCGACGUCAUGAGUUUCCGACUCGAAAAGAAUCAUGGAACGGCCGGCGCCAUCGACCGCGGCCAAAUCAGCGUGCAGGUUCUGGUUCAUGCAGUUGCAAUGCAAAACAUAAUAGCAUAAAUUCUCUUUAAUUUAUGCACACUACAAAACAUAAGUGAAGUUAAUAGUUAUUCACUGGAUUUUAGCCUGUAUUUUAACAUGACUAAUGCAAUACAUUUAGGUUUCUACUAAUUUUGUUUGAACCUUGUGAGUUCAAUCUUAUAUGGUUUGUGAAACUAAGGCUAGAUUUGCUCUGCUCUGCUUUUUUUGCUUUUUAUAAUGCCUUUUUCUUUAUCUCUGGAAUGAGUAGUUGCGAGCCAUGUGGAAUCAACCGGUGCCAUCUUCGAUUUUGUAGCAGAUUUUCCAUUCUCAAGUUUUUUUUUUUUUGAGAAAGCUAUCUACCUGUAAAUACAUGCCAUAAUGAACAUGGAAAAUAAAAUAGAAGAAGCCAUUAGUCAUGUUGUAUGUUGGUGUCACACACACUCUAAUUAUAUAUCAGUUGUAUGUCCAUAUUCUUGCUGCUUUUUCGUCACACUUAACCAUUGCAAAUCCCUGUGCCUAGAUCUGUAUGUGAACUAUUUGAUAUUUGUUUUCAUUCAUAUUCGCAUAUCUAGCUUUCACCAGAUGUUCCUUAUGUACAUACUCUCACAUAUUUCUAUUUGUUUGUAAAUGAAGUGCCAUCUACUGAAUAUUUGGUACUUGAAACAAAUUUUAAAAGCACGAGCCAUCGAGAACUCCCAAAUAUAGCUCCUCAUUGUUUAACUGAUUAUUUAAAUUUUCUCAGCCUUCAAAUGAUAUGGUUGCUUGGAUGUGUGAAAUUAGUCUCGGCAAUGGAAAUACGGUCAUGCAUUGGAUAAGGAGGUAAUGGACUAUCUGUAAGAGUAUGCACAUCAGAGCAUAUCAUGGUUGCAGCCUUGCAGGUACAUUCAGUAACUUAGACAUGGCUUCAGGUCCUGCCUUGCAGGUUCCUAUCUGAAAGACAGUGUUUCGUCAAGAAAGUUAGGCUACGCGCAAUCCCUUUGGUUCUUUAAUGCUAGCCCCUGGGAGUGGAAUCCACAGUAUAUUGAUAAUAGGCAAGCAAAGAGAGGAAGAUCCAAAACACAUGUCGCCUUAGCCUCGCAGGCUUGCAAGCUACUUUUCUGAUCCUCGCUGGGAAUUAAGUGGAUAACAAUGACAGAUCACCAGAAAAUGAAUUAGCUCUUUCAACUUUCAGGUUUGGAAUUCACCAUUGCCACUGAAGUGGCUGCUAUUGAAGUUCUACUACCUUCACAGUAAAGUAAGACCCUGCAAAAUCAUGAAAAUGACAGAAAUCUGAUGAGAAUUAUUUCAAGGUAUAUCCCCCCUUUUGCCAUAUUUUCUUGACACUGGUAAUCCAUGUUAGAGGUUAAUGGUAGUUUUCCCAAUGAAGGGGAAUUUGCAAUGAAUGCAAAUGCUGGUAAAAUUAGGCAGCCAGUAUAAUUGUAUAAUUCAUGAUCAGUUUAAAUUUUAACUUGUGUGUUGUUGCCUGUGGAGGUCUAUUACUUCUUUUGGCCUCGACCGUCAUUUUCUUGACACUGGUAAUCCAUCAUGUUAGAGGUUAAUGGUAGUUUUCCCAAUGAAGGGGAAUUUGCAAUGAAUCCAAAUGCUGGUAAAAUUAGGCAGCCAGUGCAAAUUGUAUAAUUCAUGAUCAGUUUAAAUUUUAACUUGUGUGUUGUUGCCUGUGGAGAUCUAUUACUUCUUUUGGCCUCGACCAUAUCUUCCAAACUUACAGAAUUAUAAGCUACCAUGUGCUCAAAAUUUCACAAUACUGAGUUUGGUAAGUAGUAUUUGUUCUAGAAGAAUCAUACAUAUAUCAGAUGUAAAAAUAGAAAGUAUUUCGAAACAUAAAUACAUGUACAAUCUCUUGAAGUACUCCGGUAUGUGAAUGAUAUAAUACUGUUGAAAGUGAAAUGUGUUAGAGAGGAGCGAAUAAUUAACUGUGUGGUUCCGAUGAUCUGUUAAUAGAAGAAUCCGGAUGACACCAGCCAGGGCCCUCGAAAAGCAAUCCCUGGAUAGAAGACCAUUUAGCCACACUAUCUGUUGGUC